AAAUAAAUUAUAUUUAUGUUAAUUUAUUAAAUAAUACAAUUAACAUCUAAUUAAAUUAAAUCUUAUUUAAUUUAAUCAUUUGUUCCAUUGUCAGUACUUUAUGCGUGUGACCUUGUAGGUUCUCGUUACAUUGAAAAUAAUAUUAAAUCAUAUAUUUAAUAUUAUAACUAGUGAACAAUAUCUAGCAACAUAUCACUGCUACUCAAGUAACAAGAAUGUCAUGUGAUCUAACAUAACAUUUCUAUGAUAAUGAUCAUGUAUGCAAUAAUCUUUUUGCCCUUAUAUCUAUACUGAACACGAGGCAUAAAAUAUGUCACUCUUAUACAGUCUAAUAUCUCAUUUUGACUUAUUUGAGCAUGAUCAUACAUUUUACAGUCAUACUCGAUCAAGGGCCCCGUAGAUAUUACAUCCGUAUAUGUAGGAGGUGAAAAUCCCAUCUAGGUCACUCAUAUCCCUCAACAUGAUUUAUAGAGUACCCAUCAAACAUCGUUAUGGUCAUUCUAUUACAUACAAUAUUUGAUUGAAAAUAAAGUACUCAACUUCAUAUCUAGGAUCCAUAAUGGUUUCAGGUCAAAAGGUGAUAUACACCACUAUCACUAUGAGAAUAACUUAUAAUACUUACAUAACAAACUAUGUAGUAUUAUCAUGGUGGUUAAUCAAGUAUAAAUAUUACUCGUAAUAUUUAUACCUAUGUAAAGACUUGAUAUCUUAUAUCCAUGACCCGUGAGAUGUGAUCAUCAUUCUACUCACAUAAUAGUCAAUAUGCAUCACUGUUGUCCAAUGUGACAUUGAAGCUUGACUACUGAUACUUUAAGAAUAAUAUCCUUAUGGUUAAUGAUGUCUCACGAUUAAAUCACACUUAAUGAGUCAUUAAACAAACUAAUUAUUCUAAGGAAAUCAUUAUGUCGUAUACACAUAACAUAGUAAAUAUAAUGUCUGACUAUAAGUAUAUAUUAACAAAUAACAUAAAUCAAAGUCAUGAUACAAAAGAAAAUACAACCAAUACUUAUUGGAUAUUAGGGCUUACUCCAACACAUAUUUUGGUUUGAACAUAAUGUAGAUGAUAGUUUUAGUAAGACGUUUGAAACCUAUUUUGACAAUGAUAGUCAAGGAAGUAAUGGUGAAGUUAGAGAAAAUAGGUUUGAUGACAGUGUAGAAGAGAGAAUGCAAAAAUAAAUGAAUGAUUUAUGGUAGUUGAAGUGGAUAUAUCAGGGGAAGGUAUGAGGGUUGAUAUAAAUGGAAAAUAAC
This 1248-nucleotide long non-coding RNA is filed under the name Lathyrus oleraceus (garden pea). RNAcentral's name for it is "Pisum sativum (pea) long non-coding RNA (PSAT_LNC034821)". The record is from RNAcentral. Lineage: Eukaryota; Viridiplantae; Streptophyta; Magnoliopsida; Fabales; Fabaceae.